This 497-nucleotide ribosomal RNA is filed under the name uncultured bacterium. Its description in RNAcentral is "partial 16S ribosomal RNA". It matches the Rfam family "Bacterial small subunit ribosomal RNA", at positions 28 to 507 of the family's 1533-position model. The record is from RNAcentral.
GAUGAACGCUGGCGGCGUGCCUAAUACAUGCAAGUCGAGCGAACAGACGAGGAGCUUGCUCCUUUGACGUUAGCGGCGGACGGGUGAGUAACACGUAGGUAACCUACCUAUAAGACUGGGAUAACUUCGGGAAACCGGAGCUAAUACCGGAUAAUAUUUCGAACCGCAUGGUUCGAUAGUGAAAGAUGGCUUUGCUAUCACUUAUAGAUGGACCUGCGCCGUAUUAGCUAGUUGGUAAGGUAACGGCUUACCAAGGCAACGAUACGUAGCCGACCUGAGAGGAGGAGCGCCAGCACGGGAACGGAGACACGGCCCAGCCUCCUCGGGAAGGAAGAGGGGGGCAUGCGUCGACAAUGGGAGAAAUCCUGAGGGAGCACCGCGGCGGGUGUGAAGAAGGUCUUAGGAGCGAAAAACUUUUUUAGUGGGGAAAAACAAAAGUAAAUUAAAUUGUGCCUUUCUUGACGUUACCAAAUCAAAAAGCAACGCCUAACUACGUC